RNAcentral lists this unclassified non-coding RNA (332 nucleotides) under soil metagenome. Its description in RNAcentral is "partial contains 5.8S ribosomal RNA, internal transcribed spacer 2, and large subunit ribosomal RNA". The stretch from base 1 to 120 matches the Rfam family "5.8S ribosomal RNA", at positions 35 to 154 of the family's 154-position model. The record is from RNAcentral.
GAUGAAGAACGCAGCAAAAUGCGAUAAGUAAUGUGAAUUGCAGAAUUCAGUGAAUCAUCGAAUCUUUGAACGCACAUUGCGCCCGCCAGUAUUCUGGCGGGCAUGCCUGUUCGAGCGUCAUUUCAACCCUCAAGCACGGCUUGGUGUUGGGACUCGCGUUAAUUCGCGUUCCCCAAAUUGAUUGGCGGUCACGUCGAGCUUCCAUAGCGUAGUAGUAAAACCCUCGUUACUGGUAAUCGUCGCGGCCACGCCGUUAAACCCCAACUUCUGAAUGUUGACCUCGGAUCAGGUAGGAAUACCCGCUGAACUUAAGCAUAUCAAUAAGCGGAGGA